UGGGCGUAAGCGCGCGCAGGUGGUUUCUUAAGUCUGAUGUGAAAGCCCACGGCUCAACCGUGGAGGGUCAUUGGAAACUGGGAGACUUGAGUGCAGAAGAGGAAAGUGGAAUUCCAUGUGUAGCGGUGAAAUGCGUAGAGAUAUGGAGGAACACCAGUGGCGAAGGCGACUUUCUGGUCUGUAACUGACACUGAGGCGCGAAAUCGUGGGGAGCAAACAGGAUUAGAUACCCUGGUAGUCCAC
Molecule: ribosomal RNA, 243 nt
Filed under: Bacillus cereus
Lineage: Bacteria; Bacillati; Bacillota; Bacilli; Caryophanales; Bacillaceae
Description: partial 16S ribosomal RNA
Rfam family: Bacterial small subunit ribosomal RNA
Source: RNAcentral